RNAcentral lists this ribosomal RNA (253 nucleotides) under uncultured bacterium. RNAcentral describes it as "partial 16S ribosomal RNA". It matches the Rfam family "Bacterial small subunit ribosomal RNA", at positions 524 to 776 of the family's 1533-position model. The record is from RNAcentral.
UACGUAGGGGGCAAGCGUUGUCCGGAUUUACUGGGCGUAAAGAGCGCGCAGGCGGUCGUUCAAGUCGAGUGUGAAAGCCCCCGGCUCAACUGGGGAGGGUCACUCGAUACUGAUCGACUCGAAGGCAGGAGAGGGAAGUGGAAUUCCCGGUGUAGUGGUGAAAUGCGUAGAUAUCGGGAGGAACACCAGUGGCGAAGGCGACUUCCUGGCCUGUUCUUGACGCUGAGGCGCGAAAGCUAGGGUAGCAAACGGG